UGCAUUCAGCUGACUGGUACUAAUUGCCCGAUUGGCUUGAUUUGAUCCGG
RNAcentral lists this ribosomal RNA (50 nucleotides) under Pseudogemmobacter faecipullorum. RNAcentral describes it as "partial 23S ribosomal RNA". Lineage: Bacteria; Pseudomonadati; Pseudomonadota; Alphaproteobacteria; Rhodobacterales; Paracoccaceae. The record is from RNAcentral.